AUACGUAGGGGCCUGACGUUGUUCGGAAUCAUUGGGCGUAAAGGGCGCGCAGGCGGCCGUCCAAGUCCGGUGUUAAAUGGUCGGGCUCAACCCGAUCAUGCGCUGGAAACUGGGCGGCUUGAGUCCCGUAGGGGAUGCCGGAAUUCCAGGUGUAGGGGUGAAAUCUGUAGAUAUCUGGAAGAACACCGAUGGCGAAGGCAGGCAUCUGGCCGGAGACUGACGCUGAGGCGCGAAGGCGCGGGGAGCGAACAGGUUUAGAUACCCUGGUAGUCCGCGCAGUAAACGAUGCGCACCAGGUGUCGGGCGGCAGCGCCCGGUACCGGAGCUAACGCGAUGAGUGCGCCGCCUGGGGAGUAUGCCCGCAAGGGUGAAACUCAAAUGAAUUGACGGGG
This 392-nucleotide ribosomal RNA is filed under the name uncultured bacterium. Its description in RNAcentral is "partial 16S ribosomal RNA". It matches the Rfam family "Bacterial small subunit ribosomal RNA", at positions 523 to 918 of the family's 1533-position model. The record is from RNAcentral.